Non-coding RNA from Myodes glareolus (Bank vole), 1057 nucleotides. The record is from RefSeq and is a predicted model, not a curated record. NCBI's taxonomy places the organism in Eukaryota, Metazoa, Chordata, Mammalia, Rodentia, Cricetidae.
CCCUCAGCUAGGGGCGAGGAUAGCCCGGGCGCCACGUUUCACUUCAGGUUUUACUGUCCCCUCCUCGCCCUGCUCUCCGGUUGUUUUCCUGACUGGGGCAAGCCCCAUAAGCCCUUGCUUGGCCAUAAAUCCUAAUAUAAUGAAAGCAGAAAGUCCAGCACUCUGCCACACCUUCCUGCCUCUCCCGAGUAAACUCCCCGGUAACCUCAGCAAGUUCUGAUAGUAAGCAGGGCUCUCGCGAGACGUCCCACUCGGCUGCCGAGGGGGUGGGGCCCUUGGAAGGUUGGCUGCGGGUCACGCGACCCAGUGGGGGCUGACGUCAUUGGCGUCACGUGAGCGUGGCCAGCCUGUUUCGCUUUGCUAGGGGAGAAGGGAAAAGGAGAAGGGACUUCGUGAGUUCUUUGCUUCACGUUCUCACAGAGCACGCCAGGUAGGGCCCCAGGAAAGCACACCGUCAAUGGCUAUCCAGAAAGCCACCAAAGAGUUCCAAGGUGCCUGCUCUUGGGCAGAUCUGCCACUGUUGUUCAAAAAUUAGCCUGGAGAAAACACUAUCUUGUAAGAUAGAUUCCUACUGCGGAUUUCCGACAUUGCCAAGCACAUGGAGUCUACACAUGUCCCGUCUAUUCUGUAUCCUACCUGGAGACCUCUGCCCUUCAAGCUGUCAUUGUGGAACACCAGUGGAGAAUUCUUGGAAAUUCUGAUUUUUAUGUAACUUUGAUUCUUUUGGUUUUUUGUUUUAUUUUAAACAAAUGUUGUCUUUUACGUCCUUAAAUUUGAACACUUAUAUCUGUUUGGGGCGCGGGGGAGGGGGUCUCUUAGAUGGCGUGUAACUCACUAUGUAGACCAGGCUGGACUUCAAACUCAGAGGUCUCCCUGCCUCUGCCACCUCAGCCUUGAAAUUAAAGGCAUGCACCAACACAUCUGGCUAAACUUGAACAUUUUUAAUAACAAAGUCAAAAUGCGUUUGGGUCUUAAAUCCUGGCCAUUAAAGUCAAGGAUCGCCUGUAUAAAUGUAACAAUAUAGAAAAAAAGAUGAUACAAUAAAUAAAUAAAUAAA